This 253-nucleotide ribosomal RNA is filed under the name uncultured bacterium. RNAcentral's name for it is "partial 16S ribosomal RNA". It matches the Rfam family "Bacterial small subunit ribosomal RNA", at positions 524 to 776 of the family's 1533-position model. The record is from RNAcentral.
AACGUAGGUACCGAGCGUUAUCCGGAUUUACUGGGCGUAAAGCGUGUUCAGGCGGCCCGGCAAGUCGGGCAUGAAAUCUCUCGGCUCAACCGGGAGAGGCUGUCCGAUACUGCUGGGCUUGAGGACGGUAGAGGGUGGUGGAAUUCCGCGUGUAGUGGUGAAAUGCGUAGAUAUGCGGAGGAACACCAGUGGCGAAGGCGGCCACCUGGACCGUCCCUGACGCUCAAACACGAAAGCUAGGGUAGCGAACGGG